GCUAUCAUUUUUCUCUUCCCCUUCACCGAAAUAUGCAGCAAAGAAAGGGUUUUAAAGCUGGAAAAUUUCAGCAACAUAUUUCCCUUGCUUAUGAUGAAAAUUGAGACUUGGACCUAGAACGGAAAGAAAUCGAUUUAUGGACGAGUAUGUCCUUUUCACCUUUGUGGUAUCGAGGUAAGUUCGUAUGUAAACAAUACCAUGCUAUACAUGUAUUUAAAUGUUAUCAUUACAUGAAUUGUACAGAUAUUAAUGUGUAUGUGAUUAAUAGAAAUAUGAUAAGACAAAGCCUUAAUAGACGAGGAAAAAUCCCGUUUGAACCUUAGGAAUAGAAGAGGAUACGAGUGACAUGUCACUAGGAAUUAUGAGUCUAGAUGACUAGCUCGAGAGUGAGCAUUGAAAUGUCAUGAGAUAUGAGGUAGCUUUAGCUACAAUUGAGGCACUUAUGUGCAAAGGCUUUUCCGAGUAUCCAAUUAGUAUUCCAAGUGUUCAACGGGCAAUCCAAGGAAAGAGUUGAUGAUGGUCCCAAUAAGGUAAGUCAUUGGUGAGUAUGCACUCGAGUUAUGUUACGAGUUGUGCAAGUAUGUAUACUAAUCCUAUGAGAAUGCCUUGAUAUGUGAUGAUCUAUGAUGCAUAAUAUGUGUUCUUACCAUGAUGGAUAAAA
Gossypium arboreum is the source of this 661-nucleotide long non-coding RNA. RefSeq lists it as uncharacterized. The transcript has 2 exons. NCBI's taxonomy places the organism in Eukaryota, Viridiplantae, Streptophyta, Magnoliopsida, Malvales, Malvaceae. The record is from RefSeq and is a predicted model, not a curated record.